RNAcentral lists this ribosomal RNA (526 nucleotides) under uncultured bacterium. RNAcentral describes it as "partial 16S ribosomal RNA". It matches the Rfam family "Bacterial small subunit ribosomal RNA", at positions 37 to 537 of the family's 1533-position model. The record is from RNAcentral.
AUUGAACGCUGGCGGCAGGCCUAACACAUGCAAGUCGAGCGGAUGAAGGGAGCUUGCUCCUGGAUUCAGCGGCGGACGGGUGAGUAAUGCCUAGGAAUCUGCCUGGUAGUGGGGGAUAACGUCCGGAAACGGGCGCUAAUACCGCAUACGUCCUGAGGGAGAAAGUGGGGGAUCUUCGGACCUCACGCUAUCAGAUGAGCCUAGGUCGGAUUAGCUAGUUGGUGGGGUAAAGGCCUACCAAGGCGACGAUCCGUAACUGGUCUGAGAGGAUGAUCAGUCAGACUGGAACUGACACGAGAUCAAGACUGAUGCGGGCGGCAGUAGGGGAGAAUAGUGGACGGAGGGAUGAAGCCUGACGACCACGUGGCGCGUGUGUGAAGAAUGUAUGAGGAUGGUAAAGCACUUAAAGGUGGGAGAAAGGGCAGUAAGUUAAUACCUUGCUGUUUUCACGAUACCAACAGAAUCACCGCCUGAUAACGUCGUGACACCAGGCGCGGUAAGAGCGCGGAAAAGCACACGUCUAAAC